GAUGAACGCUGGCGGCGUGCCUAAUACAUGCAAGUCGAGCGAACAGACGAGGAGCUUGCUCCUCUGACGUUAGCGGCGGACGGGUGAGUAACACGUGGAUAACCUACCUAUAAGACUGGGAUAACUUCGGGAAACCGGAGCUAAUACCGGAUAAUAUAUUGAACCGCAUGGUUCAAUAGUGAAAGACGGUUUUGCUGUCACUUAUAGAUGGAUCCGCGCCGCAUUAGCUAGUUGGUAAGGUAACGGCUUACCAAGGCAACGAUGCGUAGCCGACCUGAGAGGGUGAUCGGCCACACUGGAACUGAGACACGGUCCAGACUCCUACGGGAGGCAGCAGUAGGGAAUCUUCCGCAAAGGGCGAAAGCCUGACGGAGCAACGCCGCGUGAGUGAUGAAGGUCUCCGGAUCGUAAAACUCUGUUAUUAGGGAAGAACAAAUGUGUAAGUAACUAUGCACGUCUUGACGGUACCUAAUCAGAAAGCCACGGCUAACUACGUG
Molecule: ribosomal RNA, 497 nt
Filed under: uncultured bacterium
Lineage: Bacteria
Description: partial 16S ribosomal RNA
Rfam family: Bacterial small subunit ribosomal RNA
Source: RNAcentral